Molecule: ribosomal RNA, 478 nt
Filed under: uncultured bacterium
Lineage: Bacteria
Description: partial 16S ribosomal RNA
Rfam family: Bacterial small subunit ribosomal RNA
Source: RNAcentral
GACGAACGCUGGCGGCGUGCUUAACACAUGCAAGUCGAACGGUAAGGCCCUUCGGGGAACACGAGUGGCGAACGGGUGAGUAACACGUGGGUGAUCUGCCCUGCACUUCGGGAUAAGCCUGGGAAACUGGGUCUAAUACCGGAUAGGACCCUGGGAUGCAUGUCCUGGGGUGGAAAGCUUUUGCGGUGUGGGAUGGGCCCGCGGCCUAUCAGCUUGUUGGUGGGGUGAUGGCCUACCAAGGCGACGACGGGUAGCCGGCCUGAGAGAGUGACCGGCCACACUGGGACUGAGAUACGGCCCAGACUCCUACGGGAGGCAGCAGUGGGGAAUAUUGCACAAUGGGCGCAAGCCUGAUGCAGCGACGCCGCGUGAGGGAUGACGGCCUUCGGGUUGUAAACCUCUUUCAGCACCGACGAAGCGCAAGUGACGGUAGGUGCAGAAGAAGGACCGGCCAACUACGUGCCAGCAGCCGCGGUAA